UGUAUAUUUUGUAUGUAGUAAUGUUUCAGAUUGUCGCCUGUACAGGGGAGAUGCUGUCGAAAUUUCUUCGGACAGGGACUUCUUUGGGGCGUGACAAUUUAGUGGUAUCAGAGCCAAGUUUCGAUGCUUGUUUUUCGUGUACUGAAUUUUUGAUUUAAUCUGAUACCAAUUUAGUGGUAUCAGAGCGAAGUUUUACGAUGCCUAUUUUUGGGGUUUCGAUUUUUUUUUUUGGUUUUCCCUUUGUAAAUUGAUUCCUUGAUGUGACUCUCGAGUUGUGGGACCAGGCAGCGGCAGUAUAUCUCCGAGCUAUAGGAAAUAAGGUAACAGAUAGAUGAGUCAUGGAUGCUUGGAGAAAUGUCGGCUGCCAGUCCUGGAUCUCACGUCACACUCGAGGAUAGUUUCUUUUGGGUCUUGUCACUGUUUGGAUGUAUAUUAGUUUUGCGUAUUUUGGUUUUGAACAAGUCGAUGUGUUUUUAGAGUCUAGUCUGGGGGUUGUAGGUAAUUUAGUUAGUAACUUUGUCGGUCAUACAUUUGUUUUCUUUUGUGAUUUCCGCUGCGUUUACAUCCAGCCGUGUAGGCUGAGUAUUUA
Zingiber officinale is the source of this 589-nucleotide long non-coding RNA. RefSeq lists it as uncharacterized. Lineage: Eukaryota; Viridiplantae; Streptophyta; Magnoliopsida; Zingiberales; Zingiberaceae. The record is from RefSeq and is a predicted model, not a curated record. The transcript is spliced from 2 exons.